This 497-nucleotide ribosomal RNA is filed under the name uncultured bacterium. Its description in RNAcentral is "partial 16S ribosomal RNA". It matches the Rfam family "Bacterial small subunit ribosomal RNA", at positions 28 to 507 of the family's 1533-position model. The record is from RNAcentral.
GAUGAACGCUGGCGGCGUGCCUAAUACAUGCGAGUCGAGCGAACAGACGAGGAGCUUGCUCCUCUGACGUUAGCGGCGGACGGGUGAGUAACACGUGGAUAACCUACCUAUAAGACUGGGAUAACUUCGGGAAACCGGAGCUAAUACCGGAUAAUAUAUUGAACCGCAUGGUUCAAUAGUGAAAGACGGUUUUGCUGUCACUUAUAGAUGGAUCCGCGCCGCAUUAGCUAGUUGGUAAGGUAACGGCUUACCAAGGCAACGAUGCGUAGCCGACCUGAGAGGGUGAUCGGCCACACUGGAACUGAGACACGGUCCAGACUCCUACGUGAGGCAGCAGUAGGGAAUCUUCCGCAAUGGGCGAAAGCCUGACGGAGCAACGCCGCGUGAGUGAUGAAGGUCUUCGGAUCGUAAAACUCUGUUAUUAGGGAAGAACAAAUGUGUAAGUAACUAUGCACGUCUUGACGGUACCUAAUCAGAAAGCCACGGCUAACUACGUG